Molecule: ribosomal RNA, 465 nt
Filed under: uncultured bacterium
Lineage: Bacteria
Description: partial 16S ribosomal RNA
Rfam family: Bacterial small subunit ribosomal RNA
Source: RNAcentral
GACGAACGCUGGCGGCGUGCUUAACACGUGCAAGUCGAACGGAAAGGCCCUGCUUGCAGGGUACUCGAGUGGCGAACGGGUGAGUAACACGUGGGUGAUCUGCCCUGCACUUCGGGAUAAGCCUGGGAAACUGGGUCUAAUACCGGAUAGGAGCCAUUUUUAGUGUGAUGGUUGGAAAGUUUUUUCGGUGUAGGAUGAGCUCGCGGCCUAUCAGCUUGUUGGUGGGGUAAUGGCCUACCAAGGCGGCGACGGGUAGCCGGCCUGAGAGGGUGGACGGCCACAUUGGGACUGAGAUACGGCCCAGACUCCUACGGGAGGCAUCAGUGGGGAAUAUUGCACAAUGGGCGCAAGCCUGAUGCAGCGACGCCGCGUGGGGGAUGACGGCCUUCGGGUUGUAAACUCCUUUCGCUAGGGACGAAGCUUUUUGUGACGGUACCUAGAUAAGAAGCACCGGCUAACUACGUG